UUGGAGGGCAAGUCUGGUGCCAGCAGCCGCGGUAAUUCCAGCUCCAAUAGCGUAUAUUAAAGUUGUUGCAGUUAAAAAGCUCGUAGUUGAACUUCGGGGUCUACCCAUUGGUCAGGCUUAAUUGUCUGUACUGGUGAGAUGGAUCUCUACCUUCUGAGGAACUUUCAUGCCAUUUAUUUGGUGUGGUUGGAAAUCAGGACUGUUACUUUGAAAAAAUUAGAGUGUUUAAAGCAGACUAUCGUCUGAAUACAUUAGCAUGGAAUAAUGAAAUAGGACGGACUGAUUCUAUUUCGUUGGUUUCUAGGAUCACCGUAAUGAUUAAUAGGGAUAGUUGGGGGCAUUAGUAUUCAAUUGUCAGAGGUGAAAUUCUUGGAUUUAUUGAAGACUAACUACUGCGAAAGCAUUUGCCAAGGAUGUUUUCAUUAAUCAAGAACGAAAGUUAGGGGAUCGAAGACGAUCAGAUACCGUCGUAGUCUUAACCAUAAACUAUGCCGACUAGGGAUCGGACGAAGUUAAUUUUAUAAUGACGCGUUCGGCGCCUUACGGGAAAC
This 551-nucleotide ribosomal RNA is filed under the name uncultured Glomeromycotina. Its description in RNAcentral is "SSU rRNA". It matches the Rfam family "Eukaryotic small subunit ribosomal RNA", at positions 548 to 1098 of the family's 1831-position model. Lineage: Eukaryota; Fungi; Glomeromycota. RNAcentral also lists the same sequence under 1 other name. The record is from RNAcentral.